UACCUAGUUGAUCCUACCAGUAGUCAUAUGCUUGUCUCAAAGAUUAAGCUUCCAUAUAUAAGUAUGAACUAGAUGAGAUUGUGAAACUACAGAUGGCUCAUUAAAUCAAAUAUAGUUCCUUUGAUGGUACCCUACUACUUGGAUAACAUUAGUAAUUCUAGAGCUAAUACAUGCACCAAGUCUUGACUCUUUGGAACAGAUUCAUUUAUGAGAUAAAAUUUUGACACAGGGUUUCCCACUUAUCUAAUAAAUCAUGAUAACUCGACGGAUCGCACAAACCUUGUGUUGGCAAUGCUUCAUUCAAAUUUAUUCCCUAUCAACUUUCAAUGGUAGGAUAGUGGCCUACCAUGGUGGUGAUGGGUGAUGGAGAAUUAGGGUUCAAUUCCAGAGAGGGAGCCUGAGAAGCAACAAUCACAUCCAAGGAAGGAAAGAGACGCACAAAUUACCCAAUCCUGACAUGGGGACGUAGUGACAAUAAAUAACAAUACUAGGCUCAUUAAAUCUAGUAAUUGGAAUAAGUACAAUCUAAAUCCCUUAACAAGGAUACAUUGGAGGGCAAGUCUUGUGCUAGAAUCCAUAGUAAUUCUCUCUCCAAUAGUGUAUAUUUAAUUUGUUGUAGUUAAAAAGAUCGUAGUUGGAUCUUGUGUAGUAAAGGUCGGUCUUCCUACUCUAUAUGCACCUGUUGUUCUGUCCCUUUUUCCAUCGAAAUUAUCUUAUCUUUAAUUGGUUGGGUCAUGGUUUUGGCACUGUUACUUUGAAAAAAUUAGAGUGCUCAAAGAAACCUUAUUCUCUGAAUAGAUUAGCAUGGAAUAAAGUGAUAAGAUUCUAGUCCUAUUGUGUUGGCCUUUGAGACUAGAGUAAUGAUUAAUAGGGACUAUCAGGGGCAUUCAUAUUUCAUUAUCUGAGGUUAAAUUAUUGGAUUUAUGACGGAAAAACCACUUUGAAAGAAUUUUCCAAGGAUGUUUUUAUUAAUUAAAUAUUGAAUUUGGGGGAUCAAAGAUGAUCAUAUAUUGUCCUAGUCUCAACCAUAAACGAUUUCGACCAGGGAUUGAUUGAUAUUUCUCUAAGGAAUCUGCCAACACCUUCUGAGAAAUCAAAGUGUUUGGGUUCUAGGGGGAGUAUGGUGGCAAGGUUAAAACUUAUACGAAUUGACAAAAGGGAACCACCAAGAGUGGAGCAUUCGGCUUAAAUUGACACAACACAGGAAAACUUACCAGUUCUAGACAUAGUAAGGAUUGACAGAUUGAUAGAUCUUUCUUGAUUCUAUGGGUGGUGGUGCAUGGUCAUUAUUAUUUGGUGGUUCGAUUUUUAUGGUUAAUUUCGAUAAUAAAUGAGACCUUGACCUAGCAAAUAUCUAUGCAUAGGUUCCCCUUCAAGGCCAACUUCUUAGAGGGACUAUGAACUUUUAGGUCAUGGAAGUUUGAGGAAAAAAUAGGAUGGUGAUGCCAUUAGAUUUUCUAGUCUGCACGUGCACUACACUGAUGCAAUCAAUGAGUUUUUCUCCCUGAUUCGAGAGUAUUGGGAAAUAUUCUCAAAUUUCAUUAUGAUGGGGAUAGACCAUUGAAAUUUUUGGUCUUAAAUGAGGAAUUCCUAGUAAGUGUAUGUCAAUAGCUCAUGUUGACUACAUCCCUUCCCUUUGUACACAUCGCUCGCCAAUCCUACCGAUUGAAUGAUCUGGGGAAGAGUUUGGAUCGUGUCAAUGAGGGUGGUUUGUCAUUGGUGACAUCAUGAGAAGUUCAUUGAAUCGUAUCAUAUAGAGGAAGGUGAGAAUAAUAAGGAUGGAUAUGUACAGGA
This is a non-coding RNA of Picea glauca (white spruce), 1794 nucleotides long. The record is from Rfam. Lineage: Eukaryota; Viridiplantae; Streptophyta; Pinopsida; Pinales; Pinaceae.